GUGGGGGACCGCAAGGCCUCACGUUUUCGGAGCGGCCGAUAUCGGAUUAGCUAGUUGGUGGGGUAAAGGCUUACCAAGGCGACGAUCCGUAGCUGGUCUGAGAGGACGACCAGCCACACUGGGACUGAAACACGGCCCAGACUCCUACGGGAGGCAGCAGUGGGGAACUUUGGACAAUGGGGGCAACCCUGAUCCAGCCAUGCCGCGUGAGUGAAGAAGGCCUUCGGGUUGUAAAGCUCUUUCGGACGGAAAGAAACGGUCACGGUUAACACCCGUGACUAAUGACGGUACCGUAAGAAGAAGCACCGGCUAACUACGUGCCAGCAGCCGCGGUAAUACGUAGGGUGCGAGCGUUAAUCGGAAUUACUGGGCGUAAAGCGUGCGCAGGCGGUUUCGUAAGACAGACGUGAAAUCCCCGGGCUUAACCUGGGAACUGCGUUUGUGACUGCGAGACUGGAGUGUAGCAGAGGGGGGUAGAAUUCCACGUGUAGCAGUGAAAUGCGUAGAGAUGUGGAGGAAUACCGAUGGCGAAGGCAGCCCCCUGGGCUAACACUGACGCUCAUGCACGAAAGCGUGGGGAGCAAACAGGAUUAGAUACCCUGGUAGUCCACGCCCUAAACGAUGUCAACUAGGUGUUGGGGAAGGAGACUUCUUUAGUACCGCAGCUAACGCGUGAAGU
RNAcentral lists this ribosomal RNA (679 nucleotides) under uncultured beta proteobacterium. Its description in RNAcentral is "bacterial SSU rRNA". It matches the Rfam family "Bacterial small subunit ribosomal RNA", at positions 202 to 865 of the family's 1533-position model. Lineage: Bacteria; Pseudomonadati; Pseudomonadota; Betaproteobacteria. The record is from RNAcentral.